Molecule: ribosomal RNA, 104 nt
Filed under: Clostridium chromiireducens
Lineage: Bacteria; Bacillati; Bacillota; Clostridia; Eubacteriales; Clostridiaceae
Description: partial 23S ribosomal RNA
Rfam family: Bacterial large subunit ribosomal RNA
Source: RNAcentral
GGUCAAGCUACAAAGGGCGCAUGGUGAAUGCCUUGGCAUCAGGAGCCGAUGAAGGACGCGAUAAGCUGCGAUAAGCUUCGGGUAGACGCACAUAGUCAGAGAUC